RNAcentral lists this ribosomal RNA (112 nucleotides) under Pteropus alecto (black flying fox). The record is from RNAcentral. Lineage: Eukaryota; Metazoa; Chordata; Mammalia; Chiroptera; Pteropodidae.
UUCUACAAACCCUGAACACACUCGAUCUCGUCUGAUCUUGGAAGCUAAGCAGAGUCAGGCCUGGUUAGUACUUGGAUGGGAGACCACCUGGGAAGACCAGGUGCUGUAGGCG